This 1511-nucleotide ribosomal RNA is filed under the name metagenome. RNAcentral describes it as "bacterial SSU rRNA". It matches the Rfam family "Bacterial small subunit ribosomal RNA". The record is from RNAcentral.
AGAGUUUGAUCCUGGCUCAGAACGAACGCUGGCGGCGUGGCUAAGACAUGCAAGUCGAACGGACUAUUUGAUUGGGUAACCGAGAUAAUAGUUAGUGGCGAAAGGGUGAGGAAUAAAUAGGUAACGUACCCCGCAGUCCGGGAUAGCGUCAGGUGCUUGCACCUUUCCGAAAGGGGCGGUAAUACCGGGUGAUAUCACUUAACACAAGUUGAGUGAUCAAAGAUUUAUCCCUGUGGGAGCGGCCUAUUUCCUAUCAGUUUGUUGGUGGGGUAACGGCCUACCAAGGCGACGACGGGUAGCGGGACUGAGAGGUUGACCCGCCACAUCGGGACUGAGACACUGCCCGGACCUCCACGGAGGGCUGCAGUAACGAAUAUUGCGCAAUGGGCGAAAGCCUGACGCAGCGACGCCGCGUGUAGGAUGAAGCCUUUCGGGGUGUAAACUACUGUCAGGGGUUAGAAAUUAUGCUUCGGCAUAUUGAUCAGCCCCGGAGGAAGUCACGGCUAACUUCGUGCCAGCAGCCGCGGUAAUACGAAGGUGGCGAGCGUUGUUCGGAAUCACUGGGCUUAAAGCGCGCGUAGGCGGAGUGGUGGGUGUCUUGUGAAAUCCCUCGGCUUAACCGAGGAAUUGCUUGGCAAACUACCAUUCUUGAGGCAAGUAGGGGUGCAUGGAACUCUUGGUGGAGCGGUGGAAUGCGUGGAUAUCAAGAGGAACGCCAAAGGUGAAGACAGUGCACUGGGCUUGUCCUGACGCUGAGGUGCGAAAGCGUGGGGAGCGAACGGGAUUAGAUACCCCGGUAGUCCACGCCGUAAACGAUGUCUACUAGGUUGUGGAGGUUCUGACGCCUUCACAGUCGAAGCAAAAGUGUUAAGUAGACCGCCUGGGGAGUACGGUCGCAAGGCUAAAACUCAAAGGAAUUGACGGGGGCUCACACAAGCGGUGGAGCAUGUGGAUUAAUUCGAACCAACGCGCAGAACCUUACCUGGGUUUGACAUGCUUGGAUGCCGCUCUGGAAACAGAGUUGGUUGCCUUCGGGUGAAACUUGCACAGGUGCUGCAUGGCUGUCGUCAGCUCGUGUCGUGAGAUGUCGGGUUAAGUCCUUUAACGAGCGAAACCCUUGCCGUUAGUUGCCAGCGGGUCAUGCCGGGGACUCUAGCGGGACUGCCGGUGUUAAACCGGAGGAAGGUGGGGAUGACGUCAAGUCCUCAUGGCCUUUAUGCCCAGGGCUUCACACGUGCUACAAUGGCGGCUACAGAGCGAUGCGAUGCCGUGAGGCGGAGCAAAUCGCAAAAAAGUCGCCCCAAUUCGGAUUGCAGGCUGACAACUCGCCUGCAUGAAGUUGGAAUCGCUAGUAAUCGCGUAUCUACGACGCGGUGAAUGUGUUCCUGAGCCUUGUACACACCGCCCGUCAAGUGAUGGGAGCUGGGAGUACCCAAAGUCGGGUUGCCAACCUUUUAGGAGGCGCCUGCCUACGGUAAGCUCGGUGACUGGCACUAAGUCGUAACAAGGUA